This is a non-coding RNA of Leptonychotes weddellii (Weddell seal), 1207 nucleotides long. The record is from RefSeq and is a predicted model, not a curated record. NCBI's taxonomy places the organism in Eukaryota, Metazoa, Chordata, Mammalia, Carnivora, Phocidae.
GAAGCAGCAAGAAGGCAGAUGGCACCUCCUGCGCUCGGUGUGGACCGUCUCCUUGGCCAGAUGACCCCGUGUGUAAGGGGUCACAGCUCUGAAAUUUUUGGCCAAGCACUGAAGCCACGGCAGGUCCCUAUCUGAUGUGGGAGAGGCGGGGGUCCCUGGCCAGGGGGAGAGCAGGAGCAUUCUCGCCCGUGAACACGUCACAAUGUCGUUUAGAGCCCGAUCAUGCCGCCUACCAUUCCAGGUCGUUACCCAGAAGCAGCAAGAUGAUUAAAGAAUGGAAAUGGGUCAAGGGUGAAAUGGAUAACGAAACCCGGCCAAGAGAAGCAGAAUGAACUUCAGUGCUCCUGAAAGACGGGAUGGGUUUUACGACUAGAGUCAUCGUGAGGCCUGCAGCCCUACCAAGUGACAUUCCAGCGCAUCGUCACUCCGUUCCUGCCUACACUUCACGGUCCUUGGCCGUGUUUUUGGACUACAUCUCAGGGCAAAUCUGCUUUCUGAAGGGCUCUGCUUACUUCAAGUGAUGCCACACGUGCGGGAGGUAGUUGUAGCUGGCUUGACCUGCCUGAAGCGAGGAUGGAAACGGUACUGGAGGCACCAAUGGGUGCCGAUGCGGAAGAGGGGACUGGUAAGGGCUCUCCAGCCCGGGACUUUCCUCCUGCAUGGUAUAACCAUCCUUUUGAGCAAAAAAGAAGGGUACAAAUUCUGGCAAGUGCAUUGAGAAUAUUAAAAACCAAACUAUCCUGGAGGUUCUGGGGGAUGUGUUUGCCAAAGCCAAGGUAGAAUAGGUAAUUGAUUACCUGGCAGAAUUUGAAAGACCAUCACAGGAAGAUUUAUAUUAAAUAAUUAUUAUAUCAAAGAUAACACUUGUCAAUUCAGCUGCUGGUAUCUGAUUACAUGCACAAACUUUGGACAGUGUUUACAGAGGUUUGAAGAAAGUUAAGUUGAAUAAAUGUCUCACCUUAAAAGAAUGGGAAUUUUCUUUAAAAAAGCCAAAUGGAUCAAUCAUUUCAUCCCAUUAAAUCUAAAUUCCCAUGCAUGCUGUUUGGACAAGGAACAAAAUGACAGAUGUGCCAAUCUCAACAAGGGAGGAUCUUUGCACACGGUCUGUGGACAGUCAGCACAUAUCCUGACUACUGAAUCAUAAGGAAAAUACAUUUGUAGUACUCUACUGUAUUAACUGAAAAAAAAUAUGCAUAUCAGUGAGCCC